This 37-nucleotide ribosomal RNA is filed under the name uncultured Tomentella. Its description in RNAcentral is "partial 28S ribosomal RNA". The record is from RNAcentral. RNAcentral also lists the same sequence under 1 other name. Lineage: Eukaryota; Fungi; Basidiomycota; Agaricomycetes; Thelephorales; Thelephoraceae.
CGAUCUCAAAUCAGGUAGGACUACCCGCUGAACUUAA